UUAUUUGCAUCUGGUUCUAGCAAGGGAAUUGCUGCGAAGGCCCUCAAACAGGGGGGCCAUCCUUUCGAAUCCCUAUCUAGUUGUUUAGAGAUGUAGGCCACCGGCCUCAGCCAAGGCCCCACAGUUUGGGUUAAAAGUCCAGCUGCCAUCUUUUCUCUCUGACGCAUACAAUGGAAAAGGCUUUGUGAGAUCGGGUAGCCCCUCGGCUGGGGCUUUCAGAAGUUUUUCCUUUAAGUCAUGAAAGACUUGCUGUUGUUGGAAUCCCCAUUCCAAAAGUUCCCGGUCCCCGCCCCCAUUGUGACCUCAUACAAAGGCUUGGCUAAUACUGCAAAGUUUGGGAUUCCCAGUCUACAAAACCCCACAGCUCCUAGGAAUUCUCUCACCACCCUUGUGCCUUUAGGCUUCGGUAGAUUGCAAAUGACCUGCUUUCUUUCGGAUCCCGGGCUGCUUUCGGACACCUGUCGAAUAGUAAAUCCCAAGUAAGGUACCUGCGGUCGUCGGCAGAUCUGAAUUUUCUUCUUGGACACCUAAUACCCACAGCCCUCCAGAGACCGAGAGGUUGAUGUCACUCCCAAUAUCGGAGGAAGUAUACACCCCCGUGUGAGAUGGUCCUUAAUAAUAUUCCACGGCGGAGGGGGUGAUAUGACUACAUACAUGGCAGAAAGUGGAAACCUCCCAGGGAUAUUGUUCCCACGAUCCUGGAGGGAAGAAGAUGAUGUUACUUUCAAUAUGACAGAAGGUGGAUGAAGUGGUGGACUGCCCCUCCACACCUGUGGACACGCCCCCACUGAUAUUCCUUCUAAUUGCAGCGUGGGAGAGGAGGAUAUGACACGCGAUAUCGCAGGGAGUAGAAACACCCCUGUGAUACUGUUCUUAAUAUUCAGGGAGGAAGAGGAUGAUAUUACUCCCAAUACAGACGGGUGUACACCCUCUGUACACCGAGGGUGUACACCUGUCUGUGAAAGAAUGGACACGCCCCCACUGAUAUUGUUUUUAAUGCAGCGUGGGAGGGGAGGAUAUGACACGCGAUAUCGCAGCCUCCCAAAGUGCUGGGAUUGCAGGUGCGAGCCACCGGGUCCAGCCUCUCAGGCGAUUUUCAUACCUGCAUACUCUGAUCACUACUCUGUUAAACAGUCAAGGAGGCUGAGUGCCACGUGCUGACGUCACUAAGAUCAAUACAGCAAACUCUGAAAGAUGGACAGAGAGACAGGAGAUGGUCCUUUAUAAUGCAGUGUGAUCUGUGCUGCAAUAGAGUUUUGGAAGCUAGAAGUUCAAAACGAGGUGUUGGCAGCACCAUGCUCUCUCUGAAGAUGCUAGGAAGAAUCUGCUCCAUGCCUUUCCAUUCGCUCCUGGGGUUUCCUGCAAGCCCUGACAUUCCUUGGCUUGUAGAUGCAUCACCCCAGUUUCCGCCCCCAUCAUCACAUGGCCUCCUCUCUGUGUGUGCCUCUGCGUUCCCUCUAUUCUUCUUCUAAGGACACCGACACCAGUCAUAGUGGAUUAAGGGUCCACUCCUAACCAAUUACAUCUGCAACAACCCUAUUUCCAAAUAAAGUCACAUUCUAAGA
This 1565-nucleotide long non-coding RNA is filed under the name Homo sapiens (human). RNAcentral's name for it is "HSALNT0352578". Lineage: Eukaryota; Metazoa; Chordata; Mammalia; Primates; Hominidae. The record is from RNAcentral.